UACGGAGGGAGCUAGCGUUGUUCGGAAUUACUGGGCGUAAAGGGCGCGUAGGCGGUGGUGUAAGUCAGAUGUGUAAACCAUCGGCUUAACCGAUUGGAUUGCAUUUGAUACUGCAUCACUUGAGUUCAGUAGAGGAGAGUGGAAUUCCCAGUGUAGCGGUGGAAUGCGUAGAUAUUGGGAAGAACACCAGUGGCGAAGGCGGCUCUCUGGACUGACACUGACGCUGAGGCGCGAAAGCUAGGGGAGCGAACAGGAUUAGAAACCCCAGUAGUCC
Molecule: ribosomal RNA, 274 nt
Filed under: uncultured prokaryote
Description: partial 16S ribosomal RNA
Rfam family: Bacterial small subunit ribosomal RNA
Source: RNAcentral